CAGCAGCCACGGGAACACGGAGGGAGCUAGCGUUGUUCGGAAUUACUGGGCGUAAAGCGCGCGUAGGCGGUUACUCAAGUCAGAGGUGAAAGCCCGGGGCUCAACCCCGGAACUGCCUUUGAAACUAGGUGACUAGAAUCUUGGAGAGGUCAGUGGAAUUCCGAGUGUAGAGGUGAAAUUCGUAGAUAUUCGGAAGAACACCAGUGGCGAAGGCGACUGACUGGACAAGUAUUGACGCUGAGGUGCGAAAGCGUGGGGAGCAAACAGGAUUAGAUACCCGUGUAGUCCCUGUCUCUUAUAC
This 301-nucleotide ribosomal RNA is filed under the name uncultured bacterium. RNAcentral's name for it is "partial 16S ribosomal RNA". It matches the Rfam family "Bacterial small subunit ribosomal RNA", at positions 509 to 807 of the family's 1533-position model. The record is from RNAcentral.